Molecule: long non-coding RNA, 105 nt
Organism: Neopelma chrysocephalum (saffron-crested tyrant-manakin)
Lineage: Eukaryota; Metazoa; Chordata; Aves; Passeriformes; Pipridae
Exons: 3
Source: RefSeq, a predicted model, not a curated record
UUUGGGUUUUGCUGCUGCUCCAGGUUUGGGAGGUUUGGAUUUUGGUGCUGUUCCGGGUUUGGGAGGUUUGGAUUUGCUGCUGCUCCGUGCUGUGGCCUCACGGGG